GGAGAGGUCGCAUAGUGGCCUAGUGCGGCGGUUUGCUAAACCGCUGAAGGGGAGUUCCUCUUCCGAGGGUUCGAAUCCCUCCCUCUCCGCCA
Molecule: transfer RNA, 92 nt
Filed under: Chloroflexota bacterium
Lineage: Bacteria; Bacillati; Chloroflexota
Description: tRNA-Ser
Rfam family: tRNA
About the family: Transfer RNA (tRNA) molecules are approximately 80 nucleotides in length. Their secondary structure includes four short double-helical elements and three loops (D, anti-codon, and T loops). Further hydrogen bonds mediate the characteristic L-shaped molecular structure. tRNAs have two regions of fundamental functional importance: the anti-codon, which is responsible for specific mRNA codon recognition, and the 3' end, to which the tRNAs corresponding amino acid is attached (by aminoacyl-tRNA synthetases). tRNAs cope with the degeneracy of the genetic code in two manners: having more than one tRNA (with a specific anti-codon) for a particular amino acid; and 'wobble' base-pairing, i.e. permitting non-standard base-pairing at the 3rd anti-codon position.
Source: RNAcentral